GUGCUCCCUUCAGUAGUUUAUAUACUAAAAUUAGAAUGAUGCAGAGAUUAGCACGGACCCUGCCACAAAGAUAGGAUUUAAUUUUGUGAAGCAUUCCAUACAUUU
Small nuclear RNA from Dromiciops gliroides (monito del monte), 105 nucleotides. Lineage: Eukaryota; Metazoa; Chordata; Mammalia; Microbiotheria; Microbiotheriidae. The record is from RefSeq and is a predicted model, not a curated record.